Molecule: ribosomal RNA, 564 nt
Filed under: uncultured Curtobacterium sp.
Lineage: Bacteria; Bacillati; Actinomycetota; Actinomycetes; Micrococcales; Microbacteriaceae
Description: bacterial SSU rRNA
Rfam family: Bacterial small subunit ribosomal RNA
Source: RNAcentral
GCAUGUGGCGGGACAGCCUGAAGGCAGCCCUGCCCGCGUGAGUGAAGAAGGCCUUCGGGUUGUAAAGCUCUUUCGUCGGGGAGGAAGGCGAUGGGGAGUAUCUGCCGGUACCUUGACGUUACCCAACCAAAAAGCCCCGGCUAACUCCGUGCCAGCAGCCGCGGUAAUACGGAGGGGGCAAGCGUUGAUCGGAAUUACUGGGCGUAAAGCGCACGCAGGCGGUCUGUUAAGUCUGAUGUGAAAUCCCCGGGCUCAACCUGGGAACUGCAUUGGAAACUGGGGGGCUUGAGUCUUGAAGAGGGGGGUAGAAUUCCACGUGUAGCGGUGAAAUGCGUAGAGAUCUGGAGGAAUACCGGUGGCGAAGGCGGCCCCCUGGACUAAGACUGACGCUCAGGUGCGAAAGCGUGGGGAGCAAACAGGAUUAGAUACCCUGGUAGUCCACGCCGUAAACGAUGUCUGCUUGGAGGUUGUUCCCUUGAGGAGUGGCUUCCUGAGCUAACGCGUUUAGUCGACCGCCUGGGGAGUACGGGCCGCAGGUUUAAACUCAAAUGAAUUGGCCGGGGA